This 749-nucleotide ribosomal RNA is filed under the name uncultured fungus. RNAcentral's name for it is "eukaryotic LSU rRNA". The stretch from base 1 to 241 matches the Rfam family "Eukaryotic small subunit ribosomal RNA", at positions 1593 to 1831 of the family's 1831-position model. The record is from RNAcentral. Lineage: Eukaryota; Fungi.
UUGCUCUUCAACGAGGAAUGCCUGGUAAGCGCAAGUCAUCAGCUUGCGUUGAUUACGUCCCUGCCUUUUGUACACACCGCCCGUCGCUACUACCGAUUGAAUGGCUAAGUGAGGCUUUCGGACUACCUCAGGGAGGGUGGCAACACCCACCCAGAGGCGGAGAGUUAUCCAAACUUGGUCAUUUAGAGGAAGUAAAAGUCGUAACAAGGUUUCCGUAGGUGAACCUGCGGAAGGAUCAUUACAGAGUUCAUGCCCGAAAGGGUAGACCUCCCACCCUUGUGUAUUAUUACCUUGUUGCUUUGGCGAGCUGCCUUCGGGCCUUGUAUGCUCGCCAGAGGAUAAUUAAACUCUUUUUAUCAAUGUCGUCUGAGUACUAUAUAAUAGUUAAAACUUUCAACAACGGAUCUCUUGGUUCUGGCAUCGAUGAAGAACGCAGCGAAAUGCGAUAAGUAAUGUGAAUUGCAGAAUUCAGUGAAUCAUCGAAUCUUUGAACGUACAUUGCGCCCCUUGGUAUUCCGGGGGGCAUGCCUGUUCGAGCGUCAUUUCAACCCUCAAGCACAGCUUGGUAUUGAGUCUAUGUCAGUAAUGGCAGGCUCUAAAAUCAGUGGCGGCGCCGCUGGGUCCUGAACGUAGUAAUAUCUCUCGUUACAGGUUCUCAGUGUGCUUCUGCCAAAACCCAAAUUUUCUAUGGUUGACCUCGGAUCAGGUAGGGAUACCCGCUGAACUUAAGCAUAUCAAUAAGCGGAGGA